GACGAACGCUGGCGGCGUGCUUAACACAUGCAAGUCGAACGGAAAGGCCCCUUUGGGGGUACUCGAGUGGCGAACGGGUGAGUAACACGUGAGUAACCUGCCCUUGACUUCGGGAUAACUUCAGGAAACUGGGGCUAAUACCGGAUAGGAAUCCUUGCUGCAUGGUGGGGGUUGGAAAGCUUCGGCGGUUUUGGAUGGACUCGCGGCUUAUCAGCUUGUUGGUGGGGUAGUGGCUUACCAAGGCUUUGACGGGUAGCCGGCCUGAGAGGGCGACCGGCCACAUUGGGACUGAGAUACGGCCCAGACUCCUACGGGAGGCAGCAGUGGGGAAUAUUGCACAAUGGGCGGAAGCCUGAUGUAGCAACGCCGCGUGCGGGAUGACGGCCUUCGGGUUGUAAACCGCUUUCAGCAGGGGCGAAGCUUGUGGUGACGGUACCUGCAGAAGAAGCACCGGCUAACUACGUG
Molecule: ribosomal RNA, 465 nt
Filed under: uncultured bacterium
Lineage: Bacteria
Description: partial 16S ribosomal RNA
Rfam family: Bacterial small subunit ribosomal RNA
Source: RNAcentral